Molecule: RNA transcript, 2508 nt
Organism: Oryza sativa Japonica Group (Japanese rice)
Lineage: Eukaryota; Viridiplantae; Streptophyta; Magnoliopsida; Poales; Poaceae
Gene name: heterogeneous nuclear ribonucleoprotein Q
Source: RefSeq, a predicted model, not a curated record
UUCCCUUUUCCGUUUGAGCGGUCGAGUCGCAAAUUCCCCAUCCAAAACACCACUCUCCUCCUCCAGUCCAGUAAGCCCCUCUUCUCCUCCCUUCCCCCAAUUCCAUCCACUGCUCUCAAAUCUCAAUACUACUACUGUUCUAUCGAAUCGAUUCGAAAUCCACACCGCUACUACGGCUAAUUACGCUCUCUUUCUUCUUCUCUCGCAUCAUGCCGCGAUUUUCGAAUUUCCCUAGAUUUUUUCCGUCUCAAAGGGUUAGGGUUUUGGGAUGGCGGAUCGGCAGCAGUCGGAGGAGCCGGAGGAGCAGGUGGACCUGGAGGGGGACGACGACAUCAUGGACGACGACGACGGGUACCGCCGCCACCGCCGCGAGGACUCCGACGACCCGGAGGAGGAGGAUCCCGAUGAGAGGCAGGGGGAGGGCGACGGCCGUCGGGAAGACGCGGAAGGGCCGGGGGGUGCGGGUGGGGAUCCCGCCGCGGGUGGCGAAGGAGGCGCCGAUGUGAUGGACAAGGUUGGCGGCGAUGCCGGGCCCGAGGACGAGGAGGAGAAGAGGAAAUGGGACGAGUUGCUCGCUCUGCCGCCUCAGGGCUCGGAGGUGUUCAUCGGUGGUCUCCCACGUGACACCACCGAGGAUGACCUCCAUGAGCUAUGCGAGGCGUUUGGCGAAAUUUCUGAGGUGAGGUUGAUGAAGGAUAAAGAGACGAAGGAGAACAAAGGAUUCGCAUUUGUCACCUUCACCGGCAAGGAUGGGGCUCAGCGUGCUAUUGAGGAUCUGCAUGACAAAGAACACAAGGGGAGGACACUGCGGUGCUCAUUGUCACAGGCAAAGCACAGGCUAUUUGUUGGCAAUGUACCCAAGGGGUUGAGUGAGGACGAGCUGAGAAACAUAAUCCAGGGGAAGGGCCCAGGUGUUGUGAACAUUGAGAUGUUCAAGGAUUUACAUGAUCCAAGCCGUAACCGUGGGUUCCUCUUUGUUGAGUAUUAUAACCAUGCUUGUGCAGACUAUGCCAAGCAGAAAUUGUCAGCACCAAACUUUAAGGUUGAUGGUAGCCAGUUGACCGUCAGCUGGGCUGAACCUAAGGGUUCAUCAUCAUCAGAUUCUUCUUCUGCAGCUGCCCAGGUGAAGACUAUAUAUGUGAAGAACUUACCAGAGAAUGCUUCUAAAGAGAAGAUUAAGGAGAUCUUUGAAAUUCAUGGAGAGGUCACAAAAGUCGUUUUACCGCCUGCUAAGGCUGGGAAUAAGAGAGAUUUUGGGUUUGUUCAUUUUGCUGAAAGAUCAAGUGCAUUGAAGGCAGUUAAAGGAAGCGAAAAGUAUGAAAUUGAUGGGCAAGUGCUGGAAGUAUCCAUGGCCAAGCCAUUGGGAGACAAGAAGCCUGAUCACUCGUUCAAGCCUGGAGGAGCUCCAAAUUUUCCUCUUCCUCCUUAUGGUGGCUACAUGGGAGAUCCAUAUGGUGCUUAUGGUGGUGGUGGUCCUGGAUUCAACCAGGUAAACCAAACUAAACCAAGUGGUGCUUAUGGUAGGGUUGGUCCUAGUAUACCUAAAUACCAAACACAUUCUGCGAGAAAAUCCACAUAUAAAUAGGUAUAAUACAUAUGUAUAAUCUUGUUGGGUCAAAUGCUUCGUUCUCUGGCUCUUUUUGUCCAUCCACUAAACCCUCAGUCCACAAAAUGACCCAUUCUUGAGCAUCGCCACUUCAGCUACAGUCUGCCUAUAAGGCCCAGUGGCCCACAAUGCCCAACACCAAACCCUAGUUAACCAAUAUCCAGCAUCUCUAUUCCUCAAUUCCCCAUUUCCAGCUACCCAGCUGGCAGCAUGGGUGCACGGUCACCCAGGCAUGGCAUGGUUACUGCGGUCCCAAGUGCCAAAGCUGACAGGUGCCCAGGGUGGCAGAACGUCGCAUUUGCCAGGAGGAGCAGCUGAGCAAGUAGUGUGCCUGUUGCGCACUAGUUGAUCUCUGGAUCCUGUACAAGGACAUGCAGGUAGAUGGAGGAGCUAGCAUCCUAUGAUAUAUGGUAGAGGACCAGCACCAGCUGGAAUGAGGAUGGUACCAAUGGUGCUCCCUGACGGUCGUCUGGGAUAUGUUCUGCAACAACCAGGUGGAAUCCCUCCUCCGCCCCCACCGCGUCGGGGUGACCGGAGGGAUGGUGGCAGCAGAGGUGGCGAAGGGAGUCAUGGCCGGCGAUAUCGCCCUUACUAGCUUUUUCGUUCCCUUGGUCCUGCCGCCAUCCAGCCAUCACGCAAUGUGAUGGAUUUCUUAACCUAAAGAAACAAGAUAGAAGCUUGUAACCCUGUUCCAGCAUAACACCUGCAAUUGCGCAAGACAUGUACCGUCUUCUUUUUUCAGUUAUAUUUAUCUGUCAUGCAUGUGGUGCUUGUGACUUGAAAACAGUGUCUUGAAGCUUUGUAUCUCGCGGUGGCGUCUGUAGUGGUAAACCGAUGGAAUUGGAAAAUUAUCUGCAGACAUACAGUUGGACCUGUCUACCUCUUUACAUUUUUUUCCCCAA